RNAcentral lists this ribosomal RNA (846 nucleotides) under uncultured bacterium. RNAcentral's name for it is "bacterial SSU rRNA". It matches the Rfam family "Bacterial small subunit ribosomal RNA", at positions 8 to 832 of the family's 1533-position model. The record is from RNAcentral.
AGAGUUUGAUCCUGGCUCAGAACGAACGUUAGCGGCGCGCCUAACACAUGCAAGUCGCACGAGAAAGGGCUUCGGCCCCGGUACAGUGGCGCACGGGUGAGUAACACGUAGGUAAUCUUCCCUCGAGUGGGGGAUAACUCCUCGAAAGGGGGGCUAAUACCGCAUGAGACCACGUUCUCGAAAGGGGAUGAGGUCAAAGCGGGCCUCUGCAAGCAAGCUCGCGCUUGAGGAUGAGCCUGCGGCCCAUCAGCUAGUUGGUAGGGUAACGGCCUACCAAGGCGAAGACGGGUAGCUGGUCUGAGAGGAUGAUCAGCCACACUGGAACUGAGACACGGUCCAGACUCCUACGGGAGGCAGCAGUGGGGAAUUUUGCGCAAUGGGCGAAAGCCUGACGCAGCGACGCCGCGUGAGUGAUGAAGGCCUUCGGGUUGUAAAGCUCUGUGGGGAGGGAAGAAUAAGGGGCGGCUAAUACCCGCACCGAUGACGGUACCUCCUUAGCAAGCACCGGCUAACUCUGUGCCAGCAGCCGCGGUAAGACAGAGGGUGCAAACGUUGUUCGGAAUUACUGGGCGUAAAGCGCGUGUAGGCGGUCUAGCAAGUCGGAUGUGAAAGCCCUUUGGCUCAACUGUGGAAGUGCAUUCGAAACUGCGAGACUUGAGUCCCGGAGAGGAUGGGGGAAUUCUCGGUGUAGAGGAGAAAUUCGUUGAUAUCGAGAAGAAUACCGGUGGCGAAGGCGGCCAUCUGGACGGUGACUGACGCUGAGACGUGAAAGCAUGGGGAGCAAACAAAAUUCGUUGCCCUGGUGGUCCCUGCCGUCCGCGACCCAUUAAUAGAAGUCGCGGGGCA